This 403-nucleotide ribosomal RNA is filed under the name Verrucomicrobiota bacterium. RNAcentral's name for it is "Verrucomicrobia bacterium partial 16S ribosomal RNA". It matches the Rfam family "Bacterial small subunit ribosomal RNA", at positions 355 to 776 of the family's 1533-position model. The record is from RNAcentral. Lineage: Bacteria; Pseudomonadati; Verrucomicrobiota.
UGGGGAAUUUUGCACAAUGGGGGAAACCCUGAUGCAGCGACGCCGCGUGAUUUAGAAGGCCUUCGGGUUGUAAAAAUCUUUUGUAUGGGAAGAAAAUGACAGUACCAUACGAAUAAGGACCGGCUAAUUCCGUGCCAGCAGCCGCGGUAAUACGGAAGGUCCGGGCGUUAUCCGGAUUUAUUGGGUUUAAAGGGAGCGUAGGCUGUCUAUCAAGCGUGUUGUGAAAUUUACCGGCUCAACCGGUGGCUUGCAGCGCGAACUGGUCGACUUGAGUAUGCAGGAAGUAGGCGGAAUUCAUGGUGUAGCGGUGAUAUGCUUAGAUAUCAUGACGAACUCCGAUUGCGCAGGCAGCUUACUGUAGCAUAACUGACGCUGAUGCUCGAAAGUGCGGGUAUCAAACAGG